AUUGAACGCUGGCGGCAUGCCUAACACAUGCAAGUCGAACGGCAGCACGGCAGUAGCAAUACUGUGGGUGGCGAGUGGCGGACGGGUGAGGAAUACGUCGGAAUCUGCCCAGUCGUGGGGGAUAACUAGCCGAAAGGUUAGCUAAUACCGCAUACGACCGAGAGGUGAAAGCGGGGGACCGCAAGGCCUCGCGCGAUUGGAUGAGCCGACGUCGGAUUAGCUAGUUGGUGGGGUAAAGGCCCACCAAGGCGACGAUCCGUAGCUGGUCUGAGAGGAUGAUCAGCCACACUGGAACUGAGACACGGUCCAGACUCCUACGGGAGGCAGCAGUGGGGAAUUUUGGACAAUGGGCGCAAGCCUGAUCCAGCCAUGCCGCGUGAGUGAAGAAGGCCUCGG
Molecule: ribosomal RNA, 396 nt
Filed under: uncultured bacterium
Lineage: Bacteria
Description: bacterial SSU rRNA
Rfam family: Bacterial small subunit ribosomal RNA
Source: RNAcentral